UUUAGGGACUGAUGCACCUCAUACUUGAAACAGCCUUGAACUGUACGUCUGACACGACCUCCUGAAACCUUGCCUCCUCCAUGAAGGCUUCUCUGACUAACUGGAAGCUGGAGUUACUCAGUCAAAAUAGGAUUAAAGAAGAGCAGCUUCUGUUCUACACUGGAGUCAUAUCUCCUGGCUGUUUUCCUCAUGAAACAAAUACUCCUUCCCCGGAUGACGUAGCCUCUCUUGAUUCAGAACCUCAGAUACGGUUCAAGCACCUCGUGGUUUCAGCCAGUGUCGUUGACCGUCCCUGUGAAGGAAAAUAAGAGCAUGAACGAUAGAAACAACAAGGUGGAGAGACAAGAUUUCUCCUGGAUUGGGCCUGCCUUCCAGUUCUGAAGCUGUGGAACAUUCAUUCUUCCUCCAGGUUCCUCCCAGUCUGGUGUAAAGGGUAAUGAUGAAGGUGACCUUUAUUGCCCUUCAUAUUUGUGGUAAGCAGCAGCUGCAGACGUUAUGACCAUUGGAAGAAUGACCCAUCACAGUGUUAAGAAAAUCCGGCUACAUUUUUAAUCAGAGCAUGGUAAGAGGCAAAGAAAACAGAACUAGAAUUUCUCUUGGGGAAACAAAGGCUCAUGUAAAUAGACACAAGAGAUUUUUCAACAAGAUGUUCAAAAAACUAAGUGUUUAGCACCGGGUAAACCAAA
Molecule: long non-coding RNA, 686 nt
Organism: Ornithorhynchus anatinus (platypus)
Lineage: Eukaryota; Metazoa; Chordata; Mammalia; Monotremata; Ornithorhynchidae
Exons: 6
Source: RefSeq, a predicted model, not a curated record